ACGGCCGCAUCACGUUGAAAUACCGGUUCCCGUACGAUCACCGAAGUAAAGCAACGUCGAUCCUGUUCAAUACCUAGAUUGGUGACCGCUUGGUAAUACCAGAUGCUGUU
Acanthosepion pharaonis is the source of this 110-nucleotide non-coding RNA. NCBI's taxonomy places the organism in Eukaryota, Metazoa, Mollusca, Cephalopoda, Sepiida, Sepiidae. The record is from the annotation of a GenBank genome assembly.